RNAcentral lists this transfer RNA (54 nucleotides) under Bos taurus (domestic cattle). It matches the Rfam family "tRNA", at positions 9 to 63 of the family's 71-position model. Rfam says of the family: Transfer RNA (tRNA) molecules are approximately 80 nucleotides in length. Their secondary structure includes four short double-helical elements and three loops (D, anti-codon, and T loops). Lineage: Eukaryota; Metazoa; Chordata; Mammalia; Artiodactyla; Bovidae. The record is from Rfam by way of RNAcentral. RNAcentral also lists the same sequence under 2 other names.
GUCUAAUGGUAAAGAAUCUGCCUGCAAUGCAGGAGGUCCAGGUUUGAGCCCUGG